UACGGAGGGUGUGAGCGUUAAUCGGAAUUACUGUUCGUAAAGCGCGCGUAGGCGGCUUGAUAAGCUGGUUGUGAAAGCCCCGGGCUCAACCUGGGAACGGCAUCCGGAACUGUCAGGCUAGAGUGCGGGAGAGGAAGGUAGAAUUCCCGGUGUAGCGGUGAAAUGCGUAGAGAUCGGGAGGAAUACCAGUGGCGAAGGCGGCCUUCUGGACUGACACUGACGCUGAGGUGCGAAAGCGUGGGUAGCAAACAGG
Molecule: unclassified non-coding RNA, 253 nt
Filed under: uncultured Halomonadaceae bacterium
Lineage: Bacteria; Pseudomonadati; Pseudomonadota; Gammaproteobacteria; Oceanospirillales; Halomonadaceae
Description: contains 16S-23S intergenic spacer region
Rfam family: Bacterial small subunit ribosomal RNA
Source: RNAcentral